RNAcentral lists this long non-coding RNA (234 nucleotides) under Mytilus galloprovincialis (Mediterranean mussel). The record is from RNAcentral. Lineage: Eukaryota; Metazoa; Mollusca; Bivalvia; Mytilida; Mytilidae.
AUCUAGUUUAAAAAAUGUGUCCGGUGACCCGGCAACCAACCAAGAUGGCCGCCAUGGCUAAAAAUAGAACAUAGGGGUAAAAUGCAGUUUUUGGCUUAUAACUCAAAAACCAAAGCAUUUAGAGCAAAUCUGACAGGGUAAUAUUGUUCAUCAGGUCAAGAUCUAUCUGCCCUGAAAUUUUCAGAUGAAUCAGACAUUUCGUUGUUGGGUUGCUGCCCCUGAAAUGGUAAUUUU